CUUUCCAUGGCUCCGUUGGAUGGAGCGGCGGUUUCCUAAACCGCAGGCCACAGGUUCGCUUCCUGUCGGGGUUA
This 74-nucleotide transfer RNA is filed under the name Corallococcus sp. Z5C101001. RNAcentral's name for it is "tRNA-Arg". The stretch from base 9 to 74 matches the Rfam family "tRNA". Rfam says of the family: Transfer RNA (tRNA) molecules are approximately 80 nucleotides in length. Their secondary structure includes four short double-helical elements and three loops (D, anti-codon, and T loops). The record is from RNAcentral. Lineage: Bacteria; Pseudomonadati; Myxococcota; Myxococcia; Myxococcales; Myxococcaceae.